This is a long non-coding RNA of Equus caballus (horse), 2563 nucleotides long. NCBI's taxonomy places the organism in Eukaryota, Metazoa, Chordata, Mammalia, Perissodactyla, Equidae. The record is from Ensembl.
GGGAGCUCAGUAGAGUGCCAGGGACUCUGGGAGUUGAGAUAAAGUUGAGAGUCCAGGGGACUGUCAUGGCUGGAGUUCACAGGACAGAGUGCUGGAGAGGAGAGAGCUGCACAGAGAGAACUUGAAAGGCCUGCAAAGGGUUCCCCUCAAGUAUUCGGCUGAGUACUAAUUAGUACCUGUCUGUGAGGAAAUUACCUGAAGCUGGGGAAAGAAACCCCUAAAUAUAUUAGGGGUAGCAGGAUCUGGUGCUCACACAGAGCUGAGAAUAUUUGCCCUUCUCACCAGCCAGACUGGAAAACCCCAUGAUUCACAGGACAUUAGUUGUAAAGAUACAUUUGAAAAGAGAAGAUGACAUCAAUAUAUUUGAUGGCGUCCCCGUGAAGAGUGGUUGCCAAUACUACAGGAAGAGAAAAGAACUUUGAAAAGUAGAUAGAAUUUCACUCCGCAAAGCAUUGUUUAGUGGGACGAUUCUGGAAUUAGGCUCAGAAUUGUGACAGGAUGACUCUUCUGUUACUGAAAAUUACAUCCACCGUUUAAAGCAUUUUGGUAUGCUAAACCCAUAAUGAAAAAUUUUGAAAGAUCAUGUUUCUAAGAACCCCUAAAGAAGAAACAGGCCAUUCAGUGACAUCACUCAGAGAACGCGAAAGGACCAGCACUCCAACAGACUGAAACAAAAGCUUUUUUACAGGAGACAUUAAUGCCAGAAAGGAAAGGGAGCUAAGAAGAUCAAUAUAUUACAGCCAGAGCCCUUCCUGGCAUAGCCCAGAGAGACAGACAGGGCUCAGUUGAGCUCUCUGGGCAGCUCCCAUGCUCAUUUCUCAGGGUUCAACAGGUCAGCAUAGAACCCAAGGAAAUGGAUGACAUUGGUGGGGUGCUCUGUAUAAGGUGCUGGCAACAGUGAGAUUUCCUCUGGAAUAAGUCUAUAGUGAGUUGGAAUUUUCUUCUGGCUAGAAUGCUCUUGACAGUGUAUAAUCCAAGAUUGUUUCCUUGGCCUUCCAAAAAGUUCCAUAAGCUACCUAAGGGGCUGCAAUAAAUCUCUUCCUUUUUAAACUAGCUUGAGUGGAUUUUGUUCUCUGCAAAACAGAUCCUGCAACUAAGAACCCCGCCAGUAAUUGUUGCCAUUAAUUGGGAAUAAACUAAACCACUGUAAAAAAGUAACUCCAAGUACAGUGGAAUGUUUUAGAAGCUUCUUUGUCUCUUACAUCACAGCUCAAGAUGGGUAAUCGGGCUGUGCUCCACAAACUCAGCUAGAGACCCAGGCUGGUGGGAUGAUGCUGACAUCUGCUCCACUUGGCUUUUCUCUCUGGCUCUAAGGUGUCCGCUGCAGUUGUCUUCAGCCGCACUGCACUGUAUCCACGUUCAAGCCCAUGGGAAGGAAAAGGAGAAAACGUGGAGGGAAAACAACUUCAUAUUGAAGGACAUGAAGCAGACAUUGUUGCUAAAACCUACUAGCUAAAACCAAGACUCAAAGCAUCACCAAGAUCCAAGAGAAGAUGGAAAAUGUAAUCUCUAACUGGAGUGGCCAUUAGUCUAGCCAAAACUUGGGUGUGAGGAGUUCUUCUAGUACAAGAAGAAGGGGGGCAUGGAUAUGGGGAAAAUUCCAAAAUUUUUUAAAAGAGCACAUCAUCAAGCUUUUGAAACCUCAGAGGUUCCCUGCAAAUGGGCUUUUCCUCUAACCCUUUCUCCCAAAGCAAGGAUACCUGCAAGAAGCAGCACAGCGGUGGGGAUGUCACAAAGCAUCUUUCUCAACCCCUCUGUCUAGGUGGCAAUGGACAGUGAAACAAUGAGAUGUCUGUGGUUAUUUUGACUCUGAAUAAAAUAGAAAAACAUAACAACACCUUCAUUUAACAUAGUGAAUACCUGCUAUGUGUCAACACUAUAAGAUACAGAAGUAAACAAGACAGUCCUGGUCCUGGCUGCUGCCCUCCUGAUGCUUACCUUACAGAAUGGAAGACAUUCACUGAACAAUUUAUUAUGAGUUGAUCAUUUAAUUACAAUAAGUGUUCUAAGGAAGCACAGUGUGUAUAUGAGUAUGUGUUUGUUGUUAGUGCUGUCAAGUGGAUUCCAACUCCUAGUGACGAUGUGUACAAUUGAGUGGAACCUACACACAGCCACCACAGUAGGUCAAUCGACAGACAGGUGGUGUGGUUCCUUGACCAGAAAGGGAACCCGAGCCAUGGUGUUGAGAGCGCAAAUCUUAACCACUAGACCACCAGGGCUGGCUGUGUGAGUGUAUAACACAGGAAUUUGGCCUAGGCUGCAGAGAUCAGAAAUGCAGUAUUAAAAGCAUUAAAAGUAAAAAAGACAGGUUCACUCCAAUCUUUUUCCUUUACAGAUGUUCAUAUUUCUUUGGUUUCCUAAAGUGCUUUUUAGUCUUUCAUGUUUAUUAUUAAGUACUUAAGGCUAUGAUUUUCCUCUCAGCAUUGCUUUAGCAAUGUGUAGUUCUCUUAUUUUUUUUAGGAUGUUCUGCAAUUUUAGUAGUAUUUAUUUACAAAAAAAAAAUAUGGACAGAUUUACUAGUAAAAUAAAUUUAUCUCUGUUAGUUGGCAAAUUGUUUACAGAC